GUUAUCUUCACCACGAGCCCUAGUUUCAUCACCAUUUUACAGAUGAAGAAACAGGCAAGGAGCUGGUAAGAUAAUUUCAGAUCGUGACAUUAUGGAGAUAGGACAGAGCGAUAUGAUCAGGGAGGGGAGGGCGAGGUUAAUUCAGAGUGUGGGGCCAGGGAAGCUCUCUCUGUGGAAGAGACAUUUGAGCUGAAAUGUGAAUGACAAGAAGAAAGCAAUCACGCAUGGAGUGCGGUGGGGGGAGCUUUCCAGGCAGAGGAAAGAGUAAGUGCAAAGGUCCUGAGGAAGAUUAGCCCUGAGCUAACAUCUGCUGUCAAUCCUCCUCUUUUUGCUGAGGAAGACUGGCCCUCAGCUGACAUCCAUGCCCAUCUUCCUCCACUUUAUACGUGGGACGCCUGCCACAGCAUGGCUUGCCAAGCGGUGCCACGUCCGCACCCGGGAUCUGAACUGGCGAAUCCCGGGCCGCCGAAGCAGAACGUGCAAACCUAACCACUGCACCACCAGGCCGGCCCCAGACAAGUGCUUUUGCAGGGAGAUGUCAAGGCCUGGAAGACAAGAGUGGAGAGAGGGCGGCUCCACCAGGAGGGAGGGGACAGGACCCACGGUCUCCCUUCAUCUCUUCUCUGCCUCUAGGUUUCCUGCUCCAGGCCACUUUUCUCUCUCAUCUCUGUCUGUCCGUAUGUCUCUGUAUGGAAACUGGGCCCUUGAUCCAUCACUUAUGAGCUCUGUCACCCUGAGCAAGUUACUCCCCCUCUCUGAGCCUCCGUUUCUUCUUCUGGAAAAUGGGGAUGAGGAUACCUCUGCUGCAGGUCUUUUAGGAGGAUUAAGUGAGAUGCAGACACAUAAAAUGCCCGAGAUAUGGGACCUAUUAUUGUUAUUCUCAUUAUUACUGUACUAUUACUUCUGAUCUUGGACUCCGUUUUUCUCGGAGCCUCUGUUUUCCUCUUUCUGACUCUUCCUUUCUUUGUGUUUCUCUUUCUGCCUCUCCUUCUGUCCAUCUAGCUCCCUAUUUGGGUCUAUGCCUGGGCUGGGAGCCCCAUGAGGGCCGGGCAAGGGCCAGCCACAUCCCCAGCAUUGCCAAGUCCAGGGCCUGAUACAUCACCAGUACCUAAUAAAAUAAGUUGAACCUUGCUCUGUGCCAAACCAGCGUUGGGUGAUGCUGGGACCCAGCAGUGACAGAGACAGCCCCAGCCCUGUCUUCACAGCGUUCACAGUCCAGGAGAGGAAAUCAUUGUUUGUUGAAUGAAUGAAUGAGCUAACUUUGAGGUGGGCUUGGAAGACUCGACAAAAAUUGGGUGGAGGCACUGGAGGUGGGGAAAACUGCCGGAACCAAGGUUGAGGGGCUGGGAAGAGUUUAAAGAGGUAGGAGGUCAUGGAGAGAAGGCAAGAGAGCUCAGCAGAGGCCUUGAAGGCCGUGGAGAGGAGCCUGAGCUUUCUCCUGAGGGCACUAGGGAGCCAUGGCAGGUUCCGAGCUGGGGAGGGACAGGGUCAGGUUUAUGCUUUAGUGUGACUGCUCUGGCUGCCUGGCUGCCCCAUUGUGUGGGCAGGUGAGUGGAAGAGAGAGGAGCGGGAUUGGGGCAGGAGACCUGGGAGAGAAGAGUCCUGGACCAGUGCAGGAGCUGGGGGAAGAGGAAAGAGGAGCCAGAUUCUAGAAACCUGGAGGAAAAUGCUCAGGCCCCCCUGCUGUCCUUGACGCCUGGAAAGGGGCUUCAGGACUCGACCACCACCACCAGGGGGCAGCCCGGGCUACAGGUUCGAGUCCUCUCAGGGCGGGGAGGUUUGCACUCCGAUUUGGAUGUGGGGGGAGGUUGCAGCUGUCUGUGGGGCUGCGACUCAGAGCCUCUAUGCUCUCCUGCCCCCCAUCCUGGCCUCUCGGGCCCCUGGAGCCCCCACCCCACCAGCAGGAGAUUAUGUCAACACAGCCCGCUGCUUCUGGCGCUGCUUCUGGCCAGGACAAUAUUUGCCCUUAGGAUCUGGG
This 1978-nucleotide long non-coding RNA is filed under the name Equus caballus (horse). Its description in RNAcentral is "lncRNA (ENSECAG00000057935.1)". Lineage: Eukaryota; Metazoa; Chordata; Mammalia; Perissodactyla; Equidae. The record is from RNAcentral.